CGAAUACCGGAGAAUGUUAUCACGGGAGACACACGGCGGGUGCUAACGUCCGUCGUGAAGAGGGAAACAACCCAGACCGCCAGCUAAGGUCCCAAAGUCAUGGUUAAGUGGGAAACGAUGUGGGAAGGCCCAGACAGCCAGGAUGUUGGCUUAGAAGCAGCCAUCAUUUAAAGAAAGCGUAAUAGCUCACUGGUCGAGUCGGCCUGCGCGGAAGAUGUAACGGGGCUAAACCAUGCACCGAAGCUGCGGCAGCGACGCUUAUGCGUUGUUGGGUAGGGGAGCGUUCUGUAAGCCUGUGAAGGUGUGCUGUGAGGCAUGCUGGAGGUAUCAGAAGUGCGAAUGCUGACAUAAGUAACGAUAAAGCGGGUGAAAAGCCCGCUCGCCGGAAGACCAAGGGUUCCUGUCCAACGUUAAUCGGGGCAGGGUGAGUCGACCCCUAAGGCGAGGCCGAAAGGCGUAGUCGAUGGGAAACAGGUUAAUAUUCCUGUACUUGGUGUUACUGCGAAGGGGGGACGGAGAAGGCUAUGUUGGCCGGGCGACGGUUGUCCCGGUUUAAGCGUGUAGGCUGGUUUUCCAGGCAAAUCCGGAAAAUCAAGGCUGAGGCGUGAUGACGAGGCACUACGGUGCUGAAGUAACAAA
This 639-nucleotide ribosomal RNA is filed under the name Escherichia coli. RNAcentral's name for it is "partial 23S ribosomal RNA". It matches the Rfam family "Bacterial large subunit ribosomal RNA", at positions 957 to 1597 of the family's 2925-position model. Lineage: Bacteria; Pseudomonadati; Pseudomonadota; Gammaproteobacteria; Enterobacterales; Enterobacteriaceae. The record is from RNAcentral.